GAUGAACGCUAGCGGCAGGCCUAACACAUGCAAGUCGAGGGGUAGAAGGAGCUUGCUCCUUUGAGACCGGCGCACGGGUGCGUAACGCGUAUGCAAUCUACCUUGUACAGGGGAAUAGCCCAGAGAAAUUUGGAUUAAUGCCCCAUCGUAUAUAACCUUCGCAUGUUGGUUAUAUUAAGGUUCCAACGGUACAAGAUGAGCAUGCGUCCCAUUAGUUAGUUGGUAAGGUAACGGCUUACCAAGACGAUGAUGGGUAGGGGUCCUGAUAGGGAGAUCCCCCACACUGGUACUGAGACACGGACCAGACUCCUACGGGAGGCAGCAGUGAGGAAUAGUGGUCAAUGGUCGCAAGACUGAACCAGCCAUGCCGCGGGCAGGAAGACGGUCCUAUGGAUUGUAAACUGCUUUUAUACAGGAAGAAACCCUCCCACGUGUGGGAGCUUGACGGUACUGUAGGAAUAAGGAUCGGCUAACUCCGUG
Molecule: ribosomal RNA, 480 nt
Filed under: uncultured bacterium
Lineage: Bacteria
Description: partial 16S ribosomal RNA
Rfam family: Bacterial small subunit ribosomal RNA
Source: RNAcentral